This 1050-nucleotide ribosomal RNA is filed under the name Vibrio vulnificus. Its description in RNAcentral is "bacterial SSU rRNA". It matches the Rfam family "Bacterial small subunit ribosomal RNA", at positions 484 to 1533 of the family's 1533-position model. Lineage: Bacteria; Pseudomonadati; Pseudomonadota; Gammaproteobacteria; Vibrionales; Vibrionaceae. The record is from RNAcentral.
GAAGAAGCACCGGCUAACUCCGUGCCAGCAGCCGCGGUAAUACGGAGGGUGCGAGCGUUAAUCGGAAUUACUGGGCGUAAAGCGCAUGCAGGUGGUUUGUUAAGUCAGAUGUGAAAGCCCGGGGCUCAACCUCGGAACUGCAUUUGAAACUGGCAGACUAGAGUACUGUAGAGGGGGGUAGAAUUUCAGGUGUAGCGGUGAAAUGCGUAGAGAUCUGAAGGAAUACCGGUGGCGAAGGCGGCCCCCUGGACAGAUACUGACACUCAGAUGCGAAAGCGUGGGGAGCAAACAGGAUUAGAUACCCUGGUAGUCCACGCUGUAAACGAUGUCUACUUGGAGGUUGUGGCCUUGAGCCGUGGCUUUCGGAGCUAACGCGUUAAGUAGACCGCCUGGGGAGUACGGUCGCAAGAUUAAAACUCAAAUGAAUUGACGGGGGCCCGCACAAGCGGUGGAGCAUGUGGUUUAAUUCGAUGCAACGCGAAGAACCUUACCUACUCUUGACAUCCAGAGAAUCUAGCGGAGACGCUGGAGUGCCUUCGGGAACUCUGAGACAGGUGCUGCAUGGCUGUCGUCAGCUCGUGUUGUGAAAUGUUGGGUUAAGUCCCGCAACGAGCGCAACCCUUAUCCUUGUUUGCCAGCGAGUAAUGUCGGGAACUCCAGGGAGACUGCCGGUGAUAAACCGGAGGAAGGUGGGGACGACGUCAAGUCAUCAUGGCCCUUACGAGUAGGGCUACACACGUGCUACAAUGGCGCAUACAGAGGGCGGCCAACUUGCGAAAGUGAGCGAAUCCCAAAAAGUGCGUCGUAGUCCGGAUUGGAGUCUGCAACUCGACUCCAUGAAGUCGGAAUCGCUAGUAAUCGUGGAUCAGAAUGCCACGGUGAAUACGUUCCCGGGCCUUGUACACACCGCCCGUCACACCAUGGGAGUGGGCUGCAAAAGAAGUGGGUAGUUUAACCUUCGGGAGGACGCUCACCACUUUGUGGUUCAUGACUGGGGUGAAGUCGUAACAAGGUAGCGCUAGGGGAACCUGGCGCUGGAUCACCUCCUUA